Molecule: ribosomal RNA, 1486 nt
Filed under: Candidatus Curtissbacteria bacterium RIFCSPHIGHO2_02_FULL_40_17
Lineage: Bacteria; Candidatus Curtissiibacteriota
Description: bacterial SSU rRNA
Rfam family: Bacterial small subunit ribosomal RNA
Source: RNAcentral
UUUCUUUUUGAGAGUUUGAUCCUGGCUCAGGAUGAACGCUGGCGGCGUGCUUUAGGCAUGCAAGUCGAUCGAUGCUCGGAGCUGCAUUGUGCCCAUAAGAUAUCGGUGUAAAUCCGUAAUUAAUCAGUGUUAUCGAAACACUUUGAUUACACAGAUAGUAGCGGAUGCUCACGGAUAGUUUUAUGGAUAGAAUGUAGUUUCGAGCGUAGAGGCGGAAGGGUGAGUAACGCGUGGGAACGUACCCAUUGGUGGAGCAUAGCUCGCCGAAAGGCGGGGUAAUUCUCCGUAAGCCCGCAAGGGGAUAGAGUUUAACCACUCGCCGAUGGAGCGGCCCGCGUCCUAUCAGCUUGUUGGUGGGGUAAUGGCCUACCAAGGCGAUGACGGGUAGCUGGACUGAGAGGUCGGUCAGCCACAAGGGAACUGAGACACGGUCCCUACAUCUACGGAUGGCAGCAACUAGGAAUCUUGGACAAUGGGCGAAAGCCUGAUCCAGCGACGCCGCGUGGGGGAAGAAGGCCUUCGGGUUGUAAACUCCUUUUGUGGGCCGUAAUGGCCCAAGAAUAAGCACCUGCAAACUACGUGCCAGCAGCAGCGGUGAUACGUAGGGUGCGAGCGUUAUCCGGAUUUACUGGGCGUAAAGGGUUGCGUAGGCGGUUCGUUGCGUCAAAACUCAAAUACUCACGCUCAACGUGGGGGCGGGUUUUGAUACGGACGAGCUUUGAGGCUCACAGAGGUAGCCGGAACUUAUAGUGGAGCGGUGAAAUGCGUUGAGAUUAUAAGGAACACCGAUGGCGUAGGCAGGCUACUGGGUGAAAUCUGACGCUGAUGCACGAAAGCUAGGGGAGCGAAAGGGAUUAGAGACCCCUGUAGUCCUAGCCGUAAACGAUGGACACUAGAUGAGCGCUUUUUUAGGUGCUUGUCGCAAGCUAACGCGUUAAGUGUCCCGCCUGGGGAGUACGGCCGCAAGGCUAAAACUCAAAGGAAUUGACGGGGACCCGCACAAGCGGUGGAGCAUGUGGUUCAAUUCGAAACAAAGCGAAAAACCUUACCAGGGCUUGACAUGCUAGCUGCACGUUCUGCGAAAGCAGAAUUUCUUCGAGAGUGCUAGCACAGGUGCUGCAUGGCUGUCGUCAGCUUGUACCGUGAGGCGCACCCUUAAGUGGGUCAACAAGCGCAACCCCCAUCCUGUGUUAAAUUUCACAGGAAACUGCCCGCUAAAUGCGUGGAGGAAGGAGGGGAUGACGUCAAGUCAUCACGGCCCUUAUGCUCUGGGCUACACACAUCCUACAAUGGGUGCUACAACGAGUUGCAACUCGGCAACGGGAAGCAAAUCUUUAAAAGCAUCCUCAGUUCGGAUUGAGGGCUGAAACCUGCCCUCAUGAAGCUGAAAUCGCUAGUAAUCGCGGAUCAGCAGGCCGCGGUGAAUACGUUCUCGGGUCUUGUACACACCGCCCGUCAAGCCAACAAAGUCGGGGGUGCCUGAAGU